UUCGGUGCUUGACGUGUGGUGGUGGUCCGGCCAGAGAAAUCCUUCCACGCAGAUCAGAACACAAGAGAGACUGACGUUUGGCAACAGAAGAAAGCUGUGGCUCCGCGUUCAUUACUGAAAGAUACCUGAAGUACCCGGGACACUGUUUCUCUUUCACCAGCAUCUGACAAUGGCUCAGAAUGGCCAUUCCACACCGAAGCCCAACAUGAGACUCACAUGGAGAAAACUGAGACCUGGAGUGUUUCCUGGAUGCUGUUGGGAUGUUCUCACCCUGUUCGUGUGGGUUUCCUCCAGGUGCUCCCGUUUCCUCACACAGCAGGUUAAUUGGCGUCUGGGCCCGGUGAGAGUGAGUGUGUGUUUGUGUCUGUGUCCUGCCUGCUCCCCUUUGCUUGCUGGGAUAGUCUCCAGCUCCCCUGUGACCCUGAAUUGGGUAAAGUGGUUAGAAAAUGGAGGGAAAGAUAUUUUUUAUUGAUCUUCACUCAACGCACCUGUGAUGGUCAGCACACCUGAGAGUGAUCCCCUCGUUCAGACUUGUUCUCCAGGGUAGCUGCGACAUCCGGCUUUGAGCACAAACUCUUCCUGCACCUAAAAAGUCCUUAUUUGUUUCCUGGUCUAUUGGAGUGUUUUCUACAACUUUCCAGGGUCCAUUAUUUCUUAUUAUCUCAUACAGGUGUGUGUCUGCUGUCUGCAUCUGAGA
Molecule: non-coding RNA, 697 nt
Organism: Lepisosteus oculatus (spotted gar)
Lineage: Eukaryota; Metazoa; Chordata; Actinopteri; Semionotiformes; Lepisosteidae
Source: RefSeq, a predicted model, not a curated record